Molecule: long non-coding RNA, 297 nt
Filed under: Vigna radiata
Lineage: Eukaryota; Viridiplantae; Streptophyta; Magnoliopsida; Fabales; Fabaceae
Description: long non-coding RNA (VRAD_LNC011802)
Source: RNAcentral
GCAUUAAAGUGAAAUAUAAGAAGAGGGAAUGGGUAUUAAAAGAGCUUAAGGAGGAGGGAAUGGUAGAGAUCAGAAGACCUUACUCCACAACAAUCCGAAAAGUGGAGAGAAGAAAGUUGAGCAAGUGGGACGAUGAAGAUCCUGGCAUGAAGAAGAAGAGUUGAUUUGCUGGAAAGCACUUUUUUGUAUUGUUGAACAAUUUUUUUUAUUUGGUUUUAUGUUUUUGUUGAACAUGUAAUUUUUGAAUUUUUGGAACAAUUUUUGGGUGGCAUCUACUGGGGGAUGCCAAAUUUUGUG